AGCGCAGGUGGUUUAUUAAGUCUGGUGUAAAAGGCAGUGGCUCAACCAUUGUAUGCAUUGGAAACUGGUAGACUUGAGUGCAGGAGAGGAGAGCGGAAUUCCAUGUGUAGCGGUGAAAUGCGUAGAUAUAUGGAGGAACACCGGUGGCGAAAGCGGCUCUCUGGCCUGUAACUGACACUGAGGCUCGAAAGCGUGGGGAGCAAACA
RNAcentral lists this ribosomal RNA (206 nucleotides) under uncultured bacterium. RNAcentral's name for it is "partial 16S ribosomal RNA". It matches the Rfam family "Bacterial small subunit ribosomal RNA", at positions 568 to 774 of the family's 1533-position model. The record is from RNAcentral.